AACGAACGCUGGCGGCAGGCCUAACACAUGCAAGUCGAACGCGUGUAGCAAUACACGAGUGGCAGACGGGUGAGUAACGCGUGGGAACAUACCCUUUGCUACGGAACAGUCCCGGGAAACUGGGUUUAAUACCGUAUACGCCCUUCGGGGGAAAGAUUUAUCGGCAAAGGAUUGGCCCGCGUUGGAUUAGGUAGUUGGUGGGGUAAAGGCCUACCAAGCCGACGAUCCAUAGCUGGUUUGAGAGGAUGAUCAGCCACACUGGGACUGAGACACGGCCCAGACUCCUACGGGAGGCAGCAGUGGGGAAUCUUAGACAAUGGGGGCAACCCUGAUCUAGCCAUGCCGCGUGAGUGAUGAAGGCCUUAGGGUUGUAAAGCUCUUUCAGCUGGGAAGAUAAUGACGGUACCAGCAGAAGAAGCCCCGGCUAACUCCGUGCCAGCCGCCGCGGUAAGAC
RNAcentral lists this ribosomal RNA (454 nucleotides) under uncultured bacterium. RNAcentral describes it as "bacterial SSU rRNA". It matches the Rfam family "Bacterial small subunit ribosomal RNA", at positions 29 to 526 of the family's 1533-position model. The record is from RNAcentral.